This 1143-nucleotide ribosomal RNA is filed under the name Triticum aestivum (bread wheat). RNAcentral describes it as "partial small subunit ribosomal RNA". Lineage: Eukaryota; Viridiplantae; Streptophyta; Magnoliopsida; Poales; Poaceae. The record is from RNAcentral.
AUGUUCGUUGCACGGGAUGCAAAUGCUAUCCUAAGUAUGCCUCGGCCAAGCUCCGAUGUUGAAGAUUUUUGGGCAUGGGAGGCUGAGAAAAAUGGAGUGUUCUCAGUUAAGUCUGCUUAUAGACUGCUGAUGGAUCACAAACUUGCUCAGUUGAAUGAGCCAAGUACGUCCCAGUAUGGGGAGGCGAGUUGGAAGGCUCUGUGGAGUCUGCGGGUUCAGCCCAAAAUCCGAGUCUUCUGGUGGAGGGCCAUGAAAAUUUUUCUGCCAUCUUCGGCGGAGCUUCAUCGAAGACAUGUGGGAGAAUCUGGUCAUUGCCCUAUGUGUGGCAAUUCAGAAGAAACAUUAUUUCACGCACUAACGGAAUGUGAUCAUGCAUUGCUUUUUUGGAAGGAAGCUGGGAACUUCUUCAAUGUGAAGCUGCCUCGGCUAUAUCCCUUGACAUGGAGGCAAGAUCUGCUGGACCCUGCUUUUCUGAAGAAGGACCAUGCUACGGUUAUUAUUUCAGUGAUGUGGGCAAUCUGGAGCAAUAGAAACAAGUACACGCAUGGUGAAGCUCAGUACCAGCCGCUUAAAUUAAUGGAGUUAAUACAUGAGCUAAUUACUUCACUUGAUAUCCCACGAGGAGAGCCAGCUGGACGGAAUGUGACCAAGGAGUUGUGGAAAGCACCUAUGCAGGGCUGGGUUAAACUCAACUGCGAUGGCGCGACUAACCAGGCGACUGGAGAUACGGGGACUGGAGUGGUGGCUCGGGAUGAUCGGGGGUCCUUAUUUGCGAGAUGCUCUAAAUACACAGCAAAGGAGGAUCCUUUUAUAGCCGAAAUCCUAGCUUGCCGGGAUGCAGUGAAGCUAGCUAUGGAUAGAUUAUUAUCUCAUGUGAUCGUGGAGACGGAUUGUCGGUCCAUUUAUACUAUGUGGACUCAAGGAGAUGACAGGUCUGUAGGAGGCCAAGUUUUUAGAAAGAUGCGUACUUAUCUCUCAUCCUUUCAGGGAUUUGAUCUAGUUUUUGUGCAUUGGGAGGCCAACUCUGUGGCUCACCAAUGUGCUAGGCAUUCGCUCUCUUUACACAACUCUUGUAUUAUGGACGUAAUCCCUGAUUUCCUGAUUGAGCAUGUUCAAUCAGAGAUGAUCCACUUGAAUGAAUAA